Molecule: ribosomal RNA, 468 nt
Filed under: uncultured bacterium
Lineage: Bacteria
Description: partial 16S ribosomal RNA
Rfam family: Bacterial small subunit ribosomal RNA
Source: RNAcentral
GAUGAACGCUGGCGGCGUGCUUAAUACAUGCAAGUCGAACGGAAAGGCCCUGCUUUUGCGGGGCGCUCGUUUGGCGAGCGGGUGAGAAACACGCGAGUAACCCGCCCCUGACUUUGGGAUAACUCUAGGAAACUGGGGCUAAUACCGGAUAGGAGCUCCUGCUGCACGGUGGGGGUUGGAAAGUGUCGGUGGUUGGGGAUGGUUUCGCAGCUUAUCGGCUUGUUGGUGGGGUAGUGGCUUACGAAGCGUUAGAGGGAUAGCCGGCCUGAGAGGCGGGACAGCGACAAGAGGACUGAGAGACGGAGCAGACGCCUACGGGCGGCAGUAGUGGGGAAUAUGACAGAAUGAGCGGAAGCCUGAUACGGAGGCGCCGCGUGCGGAAUGACGGCCUUCGGGUUGUAAACCGCUUUCGCAUGUGACAAGGAGUGAGUGACGGUAAUGGGUAAAAAAGCACCGGCUAACUACGUG